AGCGAACGCUGGCGGCAGGCCUAACACAUGCAAGUCGAACGAACUCUUCGGAGUUAGUGGCGGACGGGUGAGUAACACGUGGGAACGUGCCUUUUGGUUCGGAAUAACUCAGGGAAACUUGUGCUAAUACCGAAUGUGCCCUUCGGGGGAAAGAUUUAUCGCCAUUAGAGCGGCCCGCGUCUGAUUAGCUAGUUGGUGAGGUAACGGCUCACCAAGGCGACGAUCAGUAGCUGGUCUGAGAGGAUGACCAGCCACACUGGUACUGAGACACGGCCCAGACUCCUACGGGAGGCAGCAGUGGGGAAUCUUGCGCAAUGGGCGAAAGCCUGACGCAGCCAUGCCGCGUGAAUGAUGAAGGUCUUAGGAUUGUAAAAUUCUUUCACCGGGGACGAUAAUGACGGUACCCGGAGAAGAAGCCCCGGCUAACUUCGUG
This 433-nucleotide ribosomal RNA is filed under the name uncultured bacterium. Its description in RNAcentral is "partial 16S ribosomal RNA". It matches the Rfam family "Bacterial small subunit ribosomal RNA", at positions 29 to 507 of the family's 1533-position model. The record is from RNAcentral.